Molecule: long non-coding RNA, 1306 nt
Organism: Sander lucioperca (pikeperch)
Lineage: Eukaryota; Metazoa; Chordata; Actinopteri; Perciformes; Percidae
Exons: 3
Source: RefSeq, a predicted model, not a curated record
UUUUAAUUGGAUAGAAAUAUAAAUAACAUAUGAAAGACAUGUCUUGAUUGAGAAAUAACUGAUUUAUUCACUUUAAAAAAAGAAAUCUUACCUUCAUGUUAUGAUUAUCAAUACAAAGGAAAAUGAGAUGUUUUGUUUUACUGUUUAAUCCAACAAACCCUCUUUGCACAUACUCAAUUAACAAUAUUAUUAUUGUCUAUAAUUUAAAUAUUCUUAUAUGCAAGCCUAUUUGUAUUACAUGGUGUAGUGUGGCUUAGGCAAAAUAAGAUUUAAGCAAUUGCUAAUUGUUUUCUAACCGUUUUUAAAGUUUAAAUUCUGGAAUAUUCACCGGCUCUGUCUCAGGGUUGCAGCAACCACCACUGUGCUCUUUUUUGUAAACAUGCUUCUCCCUCAAGAGGCUUGUUGUCGCUCGUCUGUUUGUUUCACAAUCCAGUUCAGUGGUGGGGAUGAGUCUACCCUUGUCAGUACAGAGCCUCAGGGGUCUCAACAGGAAUCCAAUAGCACUCGGUCUUGCAGCAGGCAGCUUUUAGAAGAAUGAACAAAAUUCAAGCUGCAGCAUAUUCUAUUUACACUGUGAACUGUGUUUUCACUGUUCCCAUUAGUCCAUAGGAAACAAACGUGGUCACUCUGGCUUAGAUCUUUUUAAAUUAUUCUCAUCAAACGUCAAAUUCUAGUCUGAAUUUCUUUUGUUUUUGAUCAUCAUUAUUUAGAUAAGGGCAUUGGCAUUGUUAGUGCAGUGUUGGCUGACGCAAUGCAUCUGUCAAAUAUUGACGACACCUGUAAUCUACUUUUUGAAAUUGUAUUGACUCACUGUGCAGUCAUGGCACUGGCCAAUCAACCACAGUACCUGUAGCUGGGUUGUUAGUACCUGUAUGAGUAAUCAGUCGACAAAUGAUUUGGCAGCACCCAUAGAGAGUUGCAUGUGAACAACUGAUAACCCUGUUAAUGUCCAAUAUUUCACAACACCCCACUCUAUCAAACAAGUAUUUAAAAAAACAACUCGAAAGCCUUCAAGUUAAUACCUCUUUUAUUCACUUUCAGUGUAUAUAUAUAUAUAAUGGGUAGUAAAAGCUGUUAUAGAACAUGCUGCUCUAUAAAGUAGCCACAACUACAUAGAAACUGCACAGUACAGUACAUAAAAGAGUAAUACUGGUUUAGCGUUGCCAAAGCAGAAUUAUCUUAAAGGAGAAUCUUCUCUGAGGAAUAAGACUACAGUUACAAUUUCUUAUUUGCAAAAGCUUAUACUUCGGCAGCACCAUCUCAACUAGUACACAUCAUAAACUCAUUACACCUAAGAAUGAUGAGU